RNAcentral lists this long non-coding RNA (1314 nucleotides) under Homo sapiens (human). RNAcentral describes it as "HSALNT0347446". The record is from RNAcentral. Lineage: Eukaryota; Metazoa; Chordata; Mammalia; Primates; Hominidae.
GUCCAGCUGAGGCCCUCUUGGACAACACUUCCUCUCCUGCCCAUGGUGGGAGGUUGGGAAGGACAUUCCCCCAUUUCCAUUUGCUCUGCCAUUCAAAACCUUGUGAGGGCCCUCAGGGAAGAAUCCCUUUGCAGAUGAGGAAACUGAGGCCCCACGUGGUGAAGACAAUUUUUACCCGAAUCCACCCACAACAAGAGACCAUUUGGAUAAUGUACAUUAUGGGAAGAGAACAGAGUCUCAGUGAAGAUCAUGUUUCCCCAGCAACACAGGUGCCAGGAGUAGCUGGCUCUGGUCCCAGCCCAGACUCAGAAAUCCUGAGCCACCAGACCAUUUCUAGAUUAACAAAGGCCUGCAUUAAUUUGAUUUCAGUGACCCACUGGAAACCAGUGUCAGCAUAACAACAGUUACGAGAGCUAAACCUACAAAAUAGAAACACAAGUAAAACUUGUUCAAGUGGUUUGCAGUCAUUGAACAUAGAUCAGCUCCUAUGAAAACAAACUCCAUGGGUUUUCUUUGAUGGCAGUUCUGCUCUAAAGAUGGAUAAGGAAGGAGGUUCCAAGAUGGCCGAAUAGGAACAGCUCCAGUCUACAGCUCCCAGCAUGAGCAACGCAGAAGACAGGGGAUUUCUGCAUUUCCAAUUGAGAACACAGGAGCUAUGUGGAGAGUUGAUGGAGGGACAUUCCAGGCAGAGAGAACAGCAAACACAAAGGCCUUGAAGGGAGCGGUGGCUUACAUCUGCAAUCCCACCACUUUGGGAGGCUGAGGCAGGUGGAUUGCUUGAUCUCAGGAGUUCGAGACCAGCCUGGGCAAUGUGGUGAAACCCAGUCUCUACCAAAAAAUACAAAAAUUAGCCGGGCAUGGUGAGCAUGCCUCUGGUCCCAGCUACCCAGGAGGCUGAGGUGGGAGAAUCACUUGAGCCUAGAAGGUCAAGGCUGCAGUGAGCCGUGAUUGAGCCACUGCAUUCCAGCCUGGGUGAUAGGGCUCAACACCACAUGGAAGCUGCCAAGGCUUGGGGCUCGCACCAUCUGAAGACAUGGUCUGAACUCUACGUUGGCCCUUUCAGCCAUGGCUGGAGCAGCUGGAACGCAGGGCAUCAAGUCUCUUGGCUGCACACAGCUCAGGGAAGCUGGACCUGGCCCAUGAAACCACUUUUUCUUCCUAUGCCUCCAGACCUGUGAUGGGAGGAGCUGCCAUGAAGACCUCUGACAUGCCCUAGAAACAUUUUCCCCAUUGUCUUAGGGAUUAACAUUCUGUGCCUUGUUGCUUAAGUAAAUUUCUGCCUCAUUGUCAGGCUGCAAAUUUUCUAAACUUUUA